Molecule: non-coding RNA, 410 nt
Organism: Camelina sativa (false flax)
Lineage: Eukaryota; Viridiplantae; Streptophyta; Magnoliopsida; Brassicales; Brassicaceae
Source: RefSeq, a predicted model, not a curated record
UCUCGUUUUUUGUUGCAGUACACACUAAUGAGAGAUCCAGUGAUACUUCCAAGCUCAAGAAUCACAGUUGAUCGACCCAUCAUCCAACGUCAUCUUCUGAGCGACAAUCAUGAUCCAUUUAACCGAGCACAUUUGACAUCGGAUAUGUUGAUACCGGACAUCGAGUUGAAGACGAAAAUCGAUGAGUUUGUUAAGUCGCAUCAGUCUAAGAAACGGACAACAAGUGGAGAAGAUAGCAGCAACAAGGAGAGGAUACAGACUACAAGCAGUAAUAUGUUAAUUGAUUAAUUUAUGUGUUCAAAACAAAAUGAUAACAGAGGCAGCAUAAACACUCUUUUCUAAUACUUUUGUUAGGCUUUCUUUUCUAUUAGAAUUGUGACUUAAUAUUAUGUCUUAAGCGUGUUAAGCUA